RNAcentral lists this non-coding RNA (31 nucleotides) under Homo sapiens (human). Lineage: Eukaryota; Metazoa; Chordata; Mammalia; Primates; Hominidae. The record is from RNAcentral.
UCCAACUGCUCUACGACACAGAGCCGGGCAU